Molecule: long non-coding RNA, 471 nt
Organism: Drosophila innubila
Lineage: Eukaryota; Metazoa; Arthropoda; Insecta; Diptera; Drosophilidae
Exons: 3
Source: RefSeq, a predicted model, not a curated record
CGUAGCAGAAGCAAACAAACAAACUUUAAAGUUUUGUUUUUGCAAUUACCAACACAAUUGCUGUUGGGAAGGCGCCAAAAAUGCGAUCGCCCCCUCCUCCUACGUGUGCUGCAAACAAUUAUAGGCCACCGAAGCCUGGUGAGACGUCGGCGGGAUCAAACUACAACCACAGUGUGGCGCGCGGAUUCCAGUUCACAAACGAUGCGACGAGGGAAAACACAACCGCACUUGACAAAAGGAAAACUGUGUGUCUCUAUAAGUGUAUGUGGAUGUAGAUAGCAGGAAAUAAUACGUGUGUCAAACAUCCCACAAUGAUAAACGAGCACAUACCCAGCAUAACAUUUCGACAGCGACCAUUUUCAAAAUUCAAGAAUAUUCGUUUUAAAUAUAUUAUUUCAAAUGAAGACAACUUUAAGAGUGAGAAAGAUAUAAAAAAUACUUAUGUAUAAGCAAUAACAGAAAAAGAAAUAA